Long non-coding RNA from Fukomys damarensis (Damara mole-rat), 350 nucleotides. RefSeq lists it as uncharacterized. NCBI's taxonomy places the organism in Eukaryota, Metazoa, Chordata, Mammalia, Rodentia, Bathyergidae. The transcript has 3 exons. The record is from RefSeq and is a predicted model, not a curated record.
GUCUGCACCGUGGUCCACAGGAUCCGGCUUCACUACAGCUGUCCUAGGCACCCACAAACCUCCCAGUGCCAUGGCCAGCAAGGGCUUGAAGGACCUGAAGCAGCAGGUGGAGGGGACGGGCCAGGAAGGUGCCGCUGCAGGCCAGUCAGUGGACCCCCCCGAGGCUGCACAGAAAGGAGCUGAGAAGCCCCAGGAAGCCACCGACAAGGCUGCCAACCAAGGCUCUGAUGGGGCCACGGGGAAGAAGUUCAGCCACCAGAAAUGAGGCUGCCCCUCUCAGCCCUGUUCAUGGAACUGGGCCCUGAUGCCCCAUAGGCAGCUCCCUCCUGGUCUGCCCUUCCCCAAUAAAG